Peromyscus maniculatus bairdii (prairie deer mouse) is the source of this 1325-nucleotide long non-coding RNA. RefSeq lists it as uncharacterized. NCBI's taxonomy places the organism in Eukaryota, Metazoa, Chordata, Mammalia, Rodentia, Cricetidae. The record is from RefSeq and is a predicted model, not a curated record.
AAUAGCACCAGCCGGAAAAGGCGGAAGGGCACCUGCAAAGGAGGAUGGAUGCGGGAGGCCACAGCACAGCUCCCCGCACACCACGUCAGAGGGCUUGAGCACAGUGACCGGGACUCUGGCACAGCGGAUUGGCGUGAGAUGGAUGGAACACGUUAAAACCUCCAGAUGGCCAAAGACAGCCGACCCUCAGCUGCCGCCGCCGGAGCUGUCGGAGGCAGGCGACGGGAGCCACGACUUGGCCAAGAGCUUAAAACAACAGCCUCUGAUUCCCCGUUGCCUGCGGUUUCACAACCACUUAACCCCCAGCAAGGAACGGCCAGGCCAGCGGUUCUCAACCUCACAAGCAACACCAUGCAACCUGCUGCCUCAUUUCUUGAUUUCUGCCUCCUUGGAGUAAUGUGUCUCCCUCCUGAGGCCCUUUCUGCCUGACAGAAUGGUCCCUCUCCAUCCCUCGUGAGCUGUGGGCAGCUCCUGCAGAGGGAGAAGAACCAGCCACGGAGACAGACUUUCAUUCCAGCUGCUGCUCAUUCCUCGCUGGCCUUUCCAGUGGUUCAUCGGGGACCUGUUUGCCAUCUCCGGUGCCAGGAGCCUGCGCCCAGCAGCCCUGUGCCCAAAGUAACUGAACGUAUUAUUGACAUCUACUUGGGCCGUGGAUUUCGGCACACCGGGCGCGUGCUCUGUCUACGCUGCUCCUGCCCUGGCUUUAGCUCCUUAGAACACAUUUGGUAGAGCUGUUUGUCCGCCAGGGGGUGAGAAGAAGCUGGUCAGAAGCGCAAAGGAGGGUCCCAAGAACAAUGCAGGACCUCUUCGCAGUCUUCUGGCCUGACACCAUGCAGGCCUCACCCCUGCUCCAGCUCCUGCCCGUGGCCUGGCCUGGGGUGGGGAUUGGAACACCAAAGAUCUAUGACUGGGGUGGCCUUGUGGUCCAAGUCCCUGAGGUCAUGAAACCUAGUUGAUUGUGUGACUGAACAUUUUCUUCCUUCAUGUAAGUUUUUAAAACCAUCUGUACUUCCUUUGCUGUGGCCCACUUAUAUUACGUUUUAUUCCAGUCAUACGAUAUUCUGUGAUUGUGUUUACCUGUGAAGAGGAAUUACUCGGGGCAGGGGUGGUCCGUAGUGGUUAAGAACACUUGUCCUUGCAGACGACCCAGGUUGGAUUCCCAGAACCCACUUGGUGGCUCACAAGCAUCAGUAACUCCAGUUUCAGGGGAUCUGACCCCCUCUGACCCGCUUGUGCACAUGUGGCGGUGCUCAGACAAAAACGCAAGCGAAACGCUCACAUAAAAUAAAAUAAAUAAAUCUAAAAGGAGUAAAAAUAAUUAGAAA